RNAcentral lists this ribosomal RNA (1416 nucleotides) under Triticum aestivum (bread wheat). Its description in RNAcentral is "partial small subunit ribosomal RNA". Lineage: Eukaryota; Viridiplantae; Streptophyta; Magnoliopsida; Poales; Poaceae. The record is from RNAcentral.
AUGGGGUCGAUGUCAUCAACAUCUCCCUCGUCCGUGAGUCGGGAGUACCGCUCGACAAGGACGUUGUGGCCAUUGGCGCAUUCCGUGCGGUGGCCAAGGGCGUCGUCUUCGUCACUUCCUUCUGCUGGCAACGACGGCCCCGACCCGUCCACUGUCAACAACGACACGCCGUGGGAGAUCACGGUGGCCGCCGGAUCGGUGGACCGGAAGCUCGCCGCCGGCCUUUUGCUCGAGUCGGGCGACCUGGUCGAAGGAGAGGCACUGGUACAGGGGCCCAACUCGACCGCUUACCAACCCCUCCACUACCCCGGCGAGGGUAACCUGUGCAGGAAGGUGAGCGCCGAGCGCACGAGGGGCCACAUCGUGAUAUGUGAUGAUGCCGGGGUCAAGGUUGACGAUCAAGUCCGCAUCAUCAAAAAUCUCUACGACAAUGACGCGGCUCAGGUCAUGCUCAUCGGUCAGGAGAAAGCCGGUUUCACCUUGGGCUUCAGGGAGUACGGGUCCUCCGUCGUGCAGGAGCCUGCCGCCGUCGGCCACAAGCUCAAGGACUACAGCCAGUACCCGGAUUCCGCGGCGCAGGUGUUCUUCAAGGGCACGCAGCUCGGCGUCGGCCAGUCGCCCACCGUCGCCUACUUCUCCAGCCGAGGCCCGAGCCGCGGCAACCCGCGCAUCCUGAAGCCCGACAUCCUGGCGCCGGGGCUCAACAUCCUCGCCGCAGCCACGGAGAGUCCAGACCGGGGGCCUUUCAGAUUCAAGUCCGGGACGUCGAUGGCGGUGCCGCACAUCAGCGGCGUGGUCGCCCUUCUCAAGAGCGUGCACCCGGACUGGUCGCCGAUGGCCAUCAGGUCCGCCAUAAUGACCACGGCCGAUGAGCUGGACAACGACGGCAAACCGAUCAUGAACGAGAAGCACGAGCCGGCGAGCGCAUUCGCUGUAGGCGCGGGGCACGUCAACCCCACGCGCGCCGUCGACCCAGGGCUGGUCUAUGACCUAGAGGUCAAAGACUACGCCGGGUACGUUUGCCAUCUUUUCGCCAGGGCCAGGCUCGACGACGACGACGACGACGACAACUACGCCGACGAGUACACCGUGCAAGACAUCCUCCAGGACCUGAACUUGAAUUGCAGGAACCUGCCCCGUCUGUCAGACAUCGACCUCAACUACCCGAGCAUUGUGGUGCCGGCGAACACCACGGUUCGGCGGACACUGACGAAUGUGGGGCCGGCGGAGCAGUACACGGGCAGGUUGUCCAUGGCCCAUGACGUGGGGGUGGAUUUCUCGCUCAAGUGGUUGUCCUUCUCGCGGCCCGGGGAGAAGCUCACCUUCCAAGUAAGCCAUCAUGGGUCCGAGAUCGCAGAAGGAUUCUUGAUCUGGGAGUCGAAUACGCACACGGUCCAAAGCCCACUCGUCGUCGUG